RNAcentral lists this ribosomal RNA (274 nucleotides) under uncultured bacterium. RNAcentral's name for it is "partial 16S ribosomal RNA". It matches the Rfam family "Bacterial small subunit ribosomal RNA", at positions 523 to 796 of the family's 1533-position model. The record is from RNAcentral.
AUACGGAGGGAGCGAGCGUUAAUCGGAAUUACUGGGCGUAAAGCGCGCGUAGGCGGCUUUGUAAGUCGGAUGUGAAAGCCCAGGGCUCAACCCUGGAAUUGCAUUCGAUACUGCAUGGCUAGAGUAUGGUAGAGGGAAGUGGAAUUUCCGGUGUAGCGGUGAAAUGCGUAGAUAUCGGAAGGAACACCAGUGGCGAAGGCGACUUCCUGGGCCAAUACUGACGCUAAGGUGCGAAAGCGUGGGGAGCAAACAGGAUUAGAAACCCCGGUAGUCC